RNAcentral lists this ribosomal RNA (338 nucleotides) under Brucella sp. 88S. RNAcentral's name for it is "bacterial SSU rRNA". It matches the Rfam family "Bacterial small subunit ribosomal RNA", at positions 1034 to 1373 of the family's 1533-position model. The record is from RNAcentral. Lineage: Bacteria; Pseudomonadati; Pseudomonadota; Alphaproteobacteria; Hyphomicrobiales; Brucellaceae.
ACAGGUGCUGCAUGGCUGUCGUCAGCUCGUGUCGAGAGAUGUUGGGUUAAGUCCCGCAACGAGCGCAACCCUCGCCCUUAGUUGCCAGCAUUCAGUUGGGCACUCUAAGGGGACUGCCGGUGAUAAGCCGAGAGGAAGGUGGGGAUGACGUCAAGUCCUCAUGGCCCUUACGGGCUGGGCUACACACGUGCUACAAUGGUGGUGACAGUGGGCAGCGAGCACGCGAGUGUGAGCUAAUCUCCAAAAGCCAUCUCAGUUCGGAUUGCACUCUGCAACUCGAGUGCAUGAAGUUGGAAUCGCUAGUAAUCGCGGAUCAGCAUGCCGCGGUGAAUACGUUC